RNAcentral lists this small RNA (311 nucleotides) under Callithrix jacchus (white-tufted-ear marmoset). Its description in RNAcentral is "Metazoan signal recognition particle RNA (ENSCJAG00000064727.2)". The record is from Rfam by way of RNAcentral. Lineage: Eukaryota; Metazoa; Chordata; Mammalia; Primates; Cebidae.
GCUGGGCGUGGUGGUGCGUGCCUGUAGUCCCAGAUACUCGGGAGGCUGAGGCAGGAGAUUUGCUUGAAGCCAGGAGGCGGAGGUUGCAGUGAGCUGAGAUUGCACCACUGCACUCCAACCUGGUGCCUGGCAUAUAGUAGGUGCUCAAGGAAUAAUUGAUCAGGAUGACUUUGUCUUUUCUGGGUCAGAGGCCACUUUUUUUUUUUUUUGAGACGGAGUUUCACUCUUGUUACCUGGGCUGGAGUGCAAUGGUGCAAUCUCGGCUCACAGCAACCUCCGCCUCCUGGGUUCAGGCAAUUCUCCUGCCUCAG